Molecule: ribosomal RNA, 519 nt
Filed under: Bryocentria brongniartii
Lineage: Eukaryota; Fungi; Ascomycota; Sordariomycetes; Hypocreales; Bionectriaceae
Description: SSU rRNA
Rfam family: Bacterial small subunit ribosomal RNA
Source: RNAcentral
UCGAAUAAAGCUUUGUCUAUAUAUUGAUAAUGACAAUUUAUAUAUUACGUCUUGACCAAUUACGUGCCAGCAGUCGCGGUAAUACGUAAAAGACUAGUGUUAUUCAUAAGAAUUAGGUUUAAAGGGUACUUAGGCGGUCGUGAUAGCUUGUAAAAAUGCAAUUAUUUGACUAGAGUUUUAUACAAGAGGGUAGAACUUGCGGAGGAGAGAUCAAAUUCUUUGAUACCAAAGGGACUGGUAACGGCGAAGGCAGCCCUCUAUGUAAUAACUGACGUUGAAGGACGAAGGCAUUGUGUAACAAAGAGGAUUAGAUACCCCCAGUAGUCUUUGCAGUCAAUGAUGAAUGUCAUAUAUAAAUAAAAGUGUAAGCAUUCCACCUCAAGAGUAAUGUGGCAACGCAGAAACUGAAAUCACUAGACCGUUUCUGACACCAGCAGUGAAGUAUGUUGUUUAAUUCGAUGAUCCACGAAAAAUCUUACCGAACAAGUAUUGCACGGCUGUUUUCAGUUAGUGUUGUGA